RNAcentral lists this ribosomal RNA (426 nucleotides) under uncultured bacterium. RNAcentral describes it as "bacterial SSU rRNA". It matches the Rfam family "Bacterial small subunit ribosomal RNA", at positions 354 to 796 of the family's 1533-position model. The record is from RNAcentral.
GUAGGGAAUAUUGGUCAAUGGGCGAAAGCCUGAACCAGCAACGCCGCGUGCACGAUGAAGGCCUUCGGGUCGUAAAGUGCUUUUCGGGGAGACGAGGAAGGACGGUAUCCCCGGAAUAAGGAUCGGCUAACUACGUGCCAGCAGCCGCGGUAAAACGUAGGAUCCGAGCGUUAUCCGAAUUCACUGGGCGUAAAGCGCGUGUAGGCGGUUCGGUAAGUUGGAUGUGAAAUCUCCUGGCUCAACUGGGAGGGGACGUUCAAUACUGUCGGACUAGAGGACGGCAGAGGAAGGUGGAAUUCCCGGUGUAGUGGUGAAAUGCGUAGAUAUCGGGAGGAACACCAGUGGCGAAGGCGGCCUUCUGGGCCGUUUCUGACGCUCAGACGCGAAAGCUAGGGGAGCAAACGGGAUUAGAAACCCGAGUAGUCC